RNAcentral lists this long non-coding RNA (271 nucleotides) under Bos taurus (domestic cattle). Its description in RNAcentral is "long non-coding RNA NONBTAT002768". Lineage: Eukaryota; Metazoa; Chordata; Mammalia; Artiodactyla; Bovidae. The record is from RNAcentral.
GGAAAGUAUGUGCCUUUCUCUACACUGGCAAGUCAUGCAAGUCCUGGGUUUUUAAGGUGCUGCAGUUUCAUACUCUUCCCAAAAUAACAUGAGUCAGAGUGUUCCAGUCUAAUUCUAAACAGCAGUGCAGUUUUUACUGAGAAGUAACAAUAGUUGCUGCUUUUCUCAUAGUUAAAUUUAUUAAUGGACCAAAUUCUACCCCUCAGAUUUUUUUAAAUUAUCCCUUAAUAAUUUGAUAAUAUCCUUGACCUUUGGCAUUGAUUUUGUAAGG